This 482-nucleotide ribosomal RNA is filed under the name uncultured bacterium. Its description in RNAcentral is "partial 16S ribosomal RNA". It matches the Rfam family "Bacterial small subunit ribosomal RNA", at positions 30 to 506 of the family's 1533-position model. The record is from RNAcentral.
AUUGAACGCUGGCGGCAGGCCUAACACAUGCAAGUCGAGCGGAUGAAGGGAGCUUGCUCCUGGAUUCAGCGGCGGACGGGUGAGUAAUGCCUAGGAAUCUGCCUGGUAGUGGGGGAUAACGUCCGGAAACGGGCGCUAAUACCGCAUACGUCCUGAGGGAGAAAGUGGGGGAUCUUCGGACCUCACGCUAUCAGAUGAGCCUAGGUCGGAUUAGCUAGUUGGUGGGGUAAAGGCCUACCAAGGCGACGAUCCGUACUGGUCUGAGAGGAUGAUCAGUCACACUGGAACUGAGACACGGUCCAGACUCCUACGGGAGGCAGCAGUGGGGAAUAUUGGACAAUGGGCGAAAGCCUGAUCCAGCCAUGCCGCGUGUGUGAAGAAGGUCUUCGGAUUGUAAAGCACUUUAAGUUGGGAGGAAGGGCAGUAAGUUAAUACCUUGCUGUUUUGACGUUACCAACAGAAUAAGCACCGGCUAACUUCGU